UAUUUUCUUCAACUCCAAAGAAUUCUUCUCCUGGAAGGACUGCUAUUCUGACAUACCAAAAAUGUGCUUUCUUAUAUUGGUUGGCCAACGAUAGCUGAAGCCUUCCUCUGGUGUUCACUCUGAACUGUCUCUUCUUGGAAAUAACUGUUGGUCCUUUCCAUCAGAGGUUUCUAUGGGGUUUCUGAUUCUGGAGUCUGGAGGUUGGGAUGAAGAAUUUGCAGUUCCCGGCUGCUGCUGCCGCCGUGGCUGGUCCAGCAGCACACUUUGAGAAGCACUGUACUAGAGAGGUCUUCCUAAAACAGUCAUUUAACAAACGUCUGUUGAGGACCCGCUGUUAAAGACGACAGACACAGCCCCUGGCCUCGUGGAAUGGGUGGUCUAUCCUUGCCUUUAGAGACUGAUGAGAGAGAUGUGAAAUGAAGACAGUCAGCCCAAAGUGGUGAACCAUCCGGGCAGAAUUGCUGAUAGAGGGUUAUAGGGACCACAUGUGCAAAGCUUCCAUAAUUG
Long non-coding RNA from Choloepus didactylus (southern two-toed sloth), 507 nucleotides. RefSeq lists it as uncharacterized. The record is from RefSeq and is a predicted model, not a curated record. The transcript has 3 exons. NCBI's taxonomy places the organism in Eukaryota, Metazoa, Chordata, Mammalia, Pilosa, Megalonychidae.